Molecule: long non-coding RNA, 1774 nt
Filed under: Sus scrofa (pig)
Lineage: Eukaryota; Metazoa; Chordata; Mammalia; Artiodactyla; Suidae
Description: lncRNA (ENSSSCG00065051666.1)
Source: RNAcentral
AUACAGAAAGGUGACAUUUGAGAGAACAAUUGCUAGGUUGUUUGGCCACGUUUGCUGCUAUGAAUGAGGCUUAAGAAAAGCUGUCUUUGGAUUUUGCUCCUAAGAGUCAUCUUCAUCACUCCUGCACGCGAGCACGCGCUCUCUCUCUCUCCUUUUCUCAGUUCCCUUAUGAAAUAAGGGCACACAGGUAAUAAACAAAGCACUAUAAAAGAUCAGAUUGAGGUAUUCUGUCGGCUCAUUCAAUGUCGGGAGCGGGCACUCGGCACACCAGCGCUGGGUGCUUUUUGCUUCAGGAGCAGGUUGGAAAGUGAGGGAGAGAUGGCACGUCUCGCCCCCUUUCUCUAACCUGGCUGAAUUUAUCAAGACCGUGUCCUUGGUCCACCGCACCACACCCGCCGGCGCCUGAGGGACAGAGGGAAACAUGGCAGAGCAGCUCCCCUUGGAUGCUGCUCCGUUGGAUCUUGGAGCUUGACCUGACUUUCUCUGUCCAUCCUCUUGCCAGAUCCAGUGGUCAAAGGAGGAGACUCGACGGCCUUUUCUUUUUCCUUCAUUUUUUUCAAAGAAGCCAAACGAGAACCUUGAUCGGCUGCUCCAGACAACAGUGUUCAUCGCAGGACUUGCCAAGACUGGGUGGAGAGGUCUUUACACCUAAGUCGCUCAGCUCCUCCUUUGGUAGCCUCGGUCCUGAGCGUGAACGUGAGGAUGCUGUGGCCUUUUGCUCUCGGCAUCACUGGCAUCACUACAGACGGUGCGGUGCGCACUGUCCGCAGCAAGACCUCGCAAAUGGAGGAAAAGUCAAGUGAGAGACGGUCCGCGGGGCCUUCUCUCGCCUGCCACAAACUGGCGUCAUUUUGGCUGCCAUCCCAGGGAGGAAAAGCCAGCCUCCAGAAACAGGGACGGGGGCAAUCGGGAGCUGACGUGAGAAAACUGACGUUGCUGUCCUCAGAAUGGGACAGGAAAACUGAGCAGGAAUUAACACGAGCGAAGAGUCGGCGGGAGUGCUUUUAGAGGAAGUCAAUCUAUGGGCGUUUCCAAGAAAGGAAGACGGAAUUCAGCGGGGCGCAUCAGAAAGAAAAAGAAUUAUGUCCACCACUCUCCCAACUGAUCUGCUAAAUGCAAAGACGCACACACCCCCCCUUCUUGUUUUAUCGAUUCCUGCAUCAGUGGGCACGUUUGAUGAGGGUUUGUGUUCUUUCAUUUAUGUUCUAUUACUCCAACUCCAACCACGUGUGCACAGGCGGGCACACACGUGGACACACACUCUUGUGUGAGCAUGUGCUACCCCCCCACACACACACACACCCUGCAGCCUAUAAUCUUCCCCUACGCCCCUAUCCUGUUGAUCUUUCUUCAUUUAAAAAUUAUCGGCAAAGAAUUUAUUCAUUUGGGAGAAUUCCAGGCACUACACUUACGUUCAGUUCCAAUGAAAUGGGAUCCAGACUUUGCAAACUCUGCUGUUUUGCAGAUAAAACACAAAAGCGGGACCUCGUUGUUUGGAGACAUGGCCUUUUGUUUCUAAGCCAUUUUAAGCUUGCUUGGGAAGGCUCAUAACUGGGGCCGAACAUUUUUCACCACAUCUAUUUCAGGAGGGUUUUUAGUUAAGAAUAAUGAAUUUAUCUCUAAACAGAUGGAAGAGUUUUACAAAGCUAGAAAAGAUACUUUUGCUAAUAUCCCCUAUAGGCUGGUCUUAAUCUUCUCAUUGUUCAAAAUGCUUGGUCUAUGAGAGACUUAUUUAUGUGCCAAAUGUCUUUAUUAAAUCAUUAUAUUAACACAG